Molecule: ribosomal RNA, 120 nt
Filed under: Streptomyces mobaraensis
Lineage: Bacteria; Bacillati; Actinomycetota; Actinomycetes; Kitasatosporales; Streptomycetaceae
Also listed under: 2 other names
Description: partial 16S rRNA
Rfam family: Bacterial small subunit ribosomal RNA
Source: RNAcentral
UCUAAUACCGGAUACGACUACUGACCGCAUGGUUGGUGGUGGAAAGCUCCGGCGGUGCAGGAUGAGCCCGCGGCCUAUCAGCUUGUUGGUGGGGUGAUGGCCUACCAAGGCGACGACGGG